GUCGAGAAUCUUUCACAAUGGGGGCAACCCUGAUGGAGCGACGCCGCGUGGAGGAUAAGGUCUUCGGAUUGUAAACUCCUGUCAUGCGUGAACAAGGUUGCUUGGUUAAUACCUGGGCAAAUUGAUGGUAACGCAAGAGGAAGAGACGGCUAACUCUGUGCCAGCAGCCGCGGUAAUACAGAGGUCUCAAGCGUUGUUCGGAAUCACUGGGCGUAAAGGGUGCGUAGGUGGCGUGGUAAGUCAGAUGUGAAAGCCCGGGGCUCAACCUCGGAACUGCUUCCGAUACUGCCAUGCUCGAGUACUGGAGAGGUGACUAGAAUUCUCGGUGUAGCAGUGAAAUGCGUAGAUAUCGAGAGGAAUACCAAAGGCGUAGGCAGGUCACUGGACAGUUACUGACACUGAGGCACGAAGGCCAGGGGAGCGAACGGGAUUAGAAACCCGUGUAGUCC
Molecule: ribosomal RNA, 449 nt
Filed under: uncultured bacterium
Lineage: Bacteria
Description: partial 16S ribosomal RNA
Rfam family: Bacterial small subunit ribosomal RNA
Source: RNAcentral